RNAcentral lists this ribosomal RNA (177 nucleotides) under uncultured bacterium. RNAcentral describes it as "partial 16S ribosomal RNA". It matches the Rfam family "Bacterial small subunit ribosomal RNA", at positions 338 to 507 of the family's 1533-position model. RNAcentral also lists the same sequence under 1 other name. The record is from RNAcentral.
CCUACGGGAGGCAGCAGUGGGGAAUAUUGCACAAUGGGCGCAAGCCUGAUGCAGCCAUGCCGCGUGUAUGAAGAAGGCCUUCGGGUUGUAAAGUACUUUCAGCGGGGAGGAAGGGAGUAAAGUUAAUACCUUUGCUCAUUGACGUUACCCGCAGAAGAAGCACCGGCUAACUCCGUG